AUUUGUAAAAUUGAGAAUGAUUGAAAAAUCAGUAUUUUUUCACCCAAAGGCAUGAGUGAACAUUUGAUAAGUUUAUUGUGAUUUAAUUGGUAAUUUGGUCGACAUUUUGACAAUUAUAUUUAGCAAUAUUUCGAUAAAUGCGGACCUGCUUCUUCCUCUUUUCGUAGUGACGGUGUUUCGAUAACUCAGGUCAGUUUCACGGCAAAAAUAAGUGGUAGUUUUGAAAUUCGAAUGUGCAUUUAUUGAUGUAACGAUAAAGUACAUUUCCGAGAAUAAUUAGUGAAAGUUUCAGUAGGUGUCGAUUUUUGUAAAGUAGUGUAUAGGCGAUGGAUUGGCUCAGCCAUGUGCUCGUCGUGUCAGCGGGGCGCAAGCCGUCAUGGGGGAUGUAGGCUACACUACAAUGCACGUGAUUGAUGGUUGAACAUUCACUCUCGUUGACAGUGUAUUAUUGAAAUAUUUGAUUGUGAUGAUGGUGUAUUGUACUAGGCCUUGCAUGCUCCCAACGUGUGGCAUAUUUCACAUUGAUACUACCAGUAUCAAUUACAAAAAAAUAGAUUGUGAGUAACAGUAGGCCUACAAUACAAUCAAUGCUACAUGUUAUGAGGGUGGGAACGGGGAAGGGGGGGGUAACUGUCUCGACGUCCCGUUAGAAAAAAAGGCUUAUCCCGUUUCCCAAUAUGCAAUUUUAGCCGAAUCGUGACGCAAAACACGGCUUGUCUCGAAUCCCGCUAAAAUAAGGGUGUCUAUCCCGAAUCCCGACAGUUAUUUUCGGCCCAUCCCAGUGUCCCGAAAAUACCUGUUCUCCCCCUCAUAAAUACUAGUAGACCAUAUUGUCACAUUGAUGUUUUCUUUCAUUACAGUUAGACUUCGAGAUCUACAUUUUCGACAAAGUCCUGGUGUAAUAUUACGUACUUGAUGAAGGUUUAAUGACACGAAUGAGUACAAGUACAUUACAUUUUUCGACGAAGGCCUUCUGUAAUUUCAUACGCUUCUUACGCAACAUUCAAUAGAUUUAUUUACUGUAUUAUCAUUUCGACCAAGGCGAAUUCGACACUUCAAUUACACAAGCACAAUCAAACUUAGUCAUUCCAGUCAGUUACUGAAGCACAGCGAAAACUGUCUGAAUUAGUGCUGCUGAUGGCAUGUAAUUACUCUACUACCACUACCAGUGACAGUCAAUGUCCAUAUAUUUUCAAGUGUGCGAAAUUAUUACUCGUCUACUUCUUAGUGUUAUUUGAAUGCAAUGUAUGUUAUAAAAAUAUUUUUUCAACACUAUAUCAACAUUCUCAUUCCUGUCAGUUUCUGAAAAUCAGCUAAAGCAAUCGCUACCAAUGCAGCUGAUAACAGCAAUUCUUUUUGUUCCCAAUGCCCAUCCAUGACAAUAUAUUUCACGCAUGUGACAAUCAUGUAAUCAUCCUGUUUUUUGUGUUCUAUUCAUGCAAUAAAUAAAUUCAGUAUUUUCAAAUCAUUGGUGCUACAAAACUAUUCUCAUUAUAGAUUAUUCAUAUUUCAUAAAAUGCUGUCAUGUCAAAUUUUGUGUCCUAUAAAUCAUUAUGAAGUCGGCAUUUUAUAUACAACUUUUGUACUCCUCCUAAAUAAACAUACAAAUCUUGUUUUAUGUAAACUUUGUAUAUUGGACCCGUCACAGCAAAACCAGGCGCAUGUCGCUCUGAGCUUGGCAGGUUGAGACGGACUGUUUGUUCAUUUAUCUAUUGUCUGCCUUUUGUAAAAUAUGAGCACAUCAAUUUCUUCCAUUAUCUCCUGGUGUCAUUUAGGCUCAUCUUCUGUGCGACAUGUACCUGGUUUUGCUGUGACGGGUCACAUAUUCUAUAGAUAUACAACACUCUAAUGUCACAAUGCCUCUCUCACUCGCUUUUAUAUAGCAAGAUGUAUGAAUAAACAUGACACACCAACUAUGUACAAAAUUGCUAACAAACUGCACCAUUUGUCAGUACACCACAUGAAAUACAGAGAUAUGUCUUAAUUCUAAUCUUUCAUUAGCGACACCAUUUCUUACCCGAGUGCCUCCUUCAUUCAUACAUCUUGUACUUUAACUCAAGAUACCCAUCUUUGAAUAUUUUUAGUAUACCAAGUACUACAAUGUCAAUGUAUUGAAGUCAUGUUCUUGUAGUGUUAUUGGCUUUCUAUUAUCUUGUCAAAAUACCACUUGGUUCUCGCAAAAUCUCAAUAAAAACAAAUGCUAUUGCAUGUAUUGCAUAUUCUAACAGCUAUCCACUGUAUCGAUUUAUCCAUCAUCUGUACUAUUUGUCACAAAAAUGUUAUAUAAUGUAAAUCAUAUUUCAUUACAUAAUGCACACUGCCAAUUACUGCUGAACCAUUCAUAUGUCAUUUAAAUAAAUAAUUUUCAACUUUUUAAAACCGUCUUAUAGUACUGUUCUUGUUUAUAGUACUGUUCUUGUUUCUUAUUUUUAGUAUACCAAGUACUACAAUGUCAAUGUAUUGAAGUCAUGUUCUUGUAGUGUUAUUGGCUUUCUAUUAUCUUGUCAAAAUACCACUUGGUUCUCGCAAAAUCUCAAUAAAAACAAAUGCUAUUGCAUGUAUUGCAUAUUCU
Long non-coding RNA from Lineus longissimus, 2572 nucleotides. RefSeq lists it as uncharacterized. The transcript is spliced from 4 exons. The record is from RefSeq and is a predicted model, not a curated record. Lineage: Eukaryota; Metazoa; Nemertea; Pilidiophora; Heteronemertea; Lineidae.